Molecule: transfer RNA, 72 nt
Filed under: Planctomycetota bacterium
Lineage: Bacteria; Pseudomonadati; Planctomycetota
Description: Planctomycetes bacterium (groundwater metagenome) tRNA-Cys
Rfam family: tRNA
About the family: Transfer RNA (tRNA) molecules are approximately 80 nucleotides in length. Their secondary structure includes four short double-helical elements and three loops (D, anti-codon, and T loops).
Source: RNAcentral
GGCGGUGUAGCCAAGCGGUAAGGCAACGGUUUGCAAAACCGUGUAUCUCCGGUUCGAAUCCGGACGCCGCCU